RNAcentral lists this ribosomal RNA (424 nucleotides) under uncultured bacterium. RNAcentral describes it as "bacterial SSU rRNA". It matches the Rfam family "Bacterial small subunit ribosomal RNA", at positions 359 to 775 of the family's 1533-position model. The record is from RNAcentral.
GAAUAUUGGACAAUGGGCGCAAGCCUGAUCCAGCCAUGCCGCGUGUGUGAAGAAGGCCUUCGGGUUGUAAACUGCUUUUGUACGGAACGAAACGGCUCUCUCUAAUACAGGGGGCUAAUGACGGUACCGUAAGAAUAAGCACCGGCUAACUACGUGCCAGCAGCCGCGGUAAUACGUAGGGUGCAAGCGUUAAUCGGAAUUACUGGGCGUAAAGCGUGCGCAGGCGGUGAUGUAAGACAGGUGUGAAAUCCCCGGGCUUAACCUGGGAACUGCAUUUGUGACUGCAUUGCUGGAGUGCGGCAGAGGGGGAUGGAAUUCCGCGUGUAGCAGUGAAAUGCGUAGAUAUGCGGAGGAACACCGAUGGCGAAGGCAAUCCCCUGGGCCUGCACUGACGCUCAUGCACGAAAGCGUGGGGAGCAAACAG